RNAcentral lists this long non-coding RNA (813 nucleotides) under Mytilus galloprovincialis (Mediterranean mussel). Lineage: Eukaryota; Metazoa; Mollusca; Bivalvia; Mytilida; Mytilidae. The record is from RNAcentral.
UCAAGACUAGUCAAAGCUACUAUUGUAUAAAAGAUACUUAAUAGAAAAAAUUCUGAGGUGCUAGGGAAUAUUGCAGUAUUGAGGAAAACUUCUGUUGUGUAGUGUUAGUAUAAUGUAGAUUUAGUCUUAAUUCGUAGCUCACUUUUAAACUUUCAGUAUAUUGUAGAUUGAUUUAUUUUAUUGUCUCCAUUCUGCAUGUUGUUAUAUUAUACCGUACAACUAAGAUGAUUUUAUGAUUUUGGUCAUAGAAUUUUGUCACAAUUUCAUUUUAAAGUUCAAACAAAAUCUUAUAGCUUUACAAAGUUGUUUAAAUGUUAACAAACUUUCAGGAUAUUUUUUAUAAAUUUUUUAGCAUGCAGAUAGGUUUAGAAAAUAGUUUAGAUACAUCGUUUUAGCAUACAGAUAGAUUUAGAAAAUAGUUUAAAUACAUCUUUCACAUUGGUUCUUUUUGAUGCCAUUAAACCAAACUUCAUGCAUUUUUUUAUUACAUAAUCAUGUGUGCUUUGUUACCUUUUUUUGUGUAUUUUUUCUUCCAAAUGAAAUGUGUUGUGUCUGUUGAAGAAAUCAAAAAUACAUGUAUAUUUGAUACCUUAAUCAAAAUUGUGAUUUUAUAUAUCAUAUGUUUAAAAAGAAAAGCUUGAGCCUUAUCCAUAUUUCCUUGUUCAUGAAAUAAAUAACAUCCUUUUAUCAAGACCUAUUUGAGAAAUGUUAAAAUGAAAAUAACACCGAUUUAAAUGCAAGAGCUUAAUUCUGUGACGACUUUAUUUCAGCGUCUAAAAGUUUGCUUUCAUCAUAAUCCUAUUAUUUUUUCUU